RNAcentral lists this long non-coding RNA (1800 nucleotides) under Coffea arabica (coffee). RNAcentral's name for it is "long non-coding RNA (CARA_LNC004284)". Lineage: Eukaryota; Viridiplantae; Streptophyta; Magnoliopsida; Gentianales; Rubiaceae. The record is from RNAcentral.
CAAAAAAAAAAAGGAAGAAAGCUCCCUCACUCUCUCGCUCUCUCGGACUUGGGCAGAAGAAAAAAAAAACAAAGAAAAAGAAAAAACUCUCGCCUCACCCUCGGCUCUCCUCUCUCCCAGUAUUUCCACAACACCUUUACAGACAACAAAAGGGAGGCAGUGACUGGUUGGGCUAUUGGAGCUUGGCAAUCUCAUCAAAAACUUUGGCCAAGGGACUAAGCUCUUGAUUGAGGUAUUUCUUGUCUUUUUUUUCCAACUUUUCUUUUUUUUUUUUUAAUUAACUAGAUUAAAUGUAUGUGUGAUUUCUUGUGUGUUGUUUUAUUUUGCUGGUUUUGCUGUUAUUGUAUCGGUGAAAUUUUGGCAAGGUCAUAAACCACAUUAAGGAAAAAAGAAUGGUUUUUGAAUAUGCAUGUUAACUGUUUGAAAAAAUGCCAAAAUGGAAAAGAAAAGAAUUUUAGGGUGUUGUUUUGUUUUAUUUUAGCCUUUUUAUGUUGUUUUCUUGUCAAAAUAAAAUCAUAUUUGUAGUGUAGAAGUUAUAAGGAGGGUUUUGGCAUAAUUUUUAUGAUUUUUGGUGGAGGUUUAAAGGUUUUAAAAAAAAUAAAAACUGGACUGAUUUCUUGGCUUUUUGGCCACUUUAGGAUCAAUUUUUGUUAAAAUUAAGCCCGGAAAUGGAAUCUACGCGAAAAAUCGAGUGAGGGAGUGUAUUUUGAGAAAUUUUGGUGACCGGAGAUGCGGCCGGUGACCGGCGGUCCAAAUUCUGUAAGGACUCAAGUACAAGUUAUAAAUUCAAGUAAUCUUCCGCAAUUUUGUUGUUAAUUUAUUUUUUAAUAAUCACCAUAAAAAUUUUAGAUUUGCUAGAUGAUAAUUUUCAUCAAAGUCAAUAUAAACAACCACUAACAUCAGAUUCACAGCUUGGGACUAGAUUUGUUGGCUAAAGCAAGCAGAGACAGUGACCACUUUGAUUGAAAUAGUUGGAAUGAAAAUUAGCCCAUGUUUGGUGAGAGCCAAAUUUUUGUGUCGAGCAACUAGCUAAAAUAGGGCUGAACCAGCAUGGUUGACAACUUUCUAUGAAUCUCCAAACUGCUAAAGAAACUUGAGUAAUGAUGUAGCAAAAAUAACUACCCACACUAAAAAGAUGUUUCUUUUUGUAAAUUCUAAUUUUUGUAAUUUUGAAAUUUGGACAAGGAUAUGAGUUUGGGAUGCUAGCAUUCCUCUCUUGUUGUAAUCGAUUUCUUAGUCAUUUCUUGCAAUUUAUUGUGCUAUCUUUUUUUAUUAUUUUUUUAAAAGGAAAGGAAAGCAUAACGAUAGCAUAUAUAGUAUAUACACGAUAGAAAGUAUCAACGUUCAAACUCCGAAGCAUCAGGAAGAUCCCAUACCCCCUACUAUUCCAUACCCAAUACCCUAAACUCAUUUCCUAUUUUCUCCUAAACUCUCACCCUCCUCUAGGCCCUAACUUUUUUAGACACAAACGAGAUUUGGGUCUUAGAAGCCAUUGCCAGGAGGCGUUUUACAGAUGGCUUAUUUCAGCAAUUCGAUUUGUAUUUCUUCAGAAAUUCAACAUUCACCUGCUAAGUCCGAUUGGUCUGCUUCAGAUGGAUAACAGUCUUGAUAUCUACCUAGGAUGCAAUCACGACCUCGAAAAAACUCAGCAGACUGGCGUGUUUCUCGUCAACGUCUUCCUUGGCAUCGAGAUAGGUCUCAUGAGCCGUCUUGGCAGCUUUCUUGGCGGCCCGAUAAGCCCGCAGAACCCUUGAUCAUAGCGGGAGAGAAGGUGCUACCUUUUUGAACAUUGAUUACAAA